GAGAGUGGCAUGAGGCUCUGAAUCCACCGGGGUUCCACUGAUGGAUGGUCUGUCCAGAUGGUAUCCCGCAGACACACACAUUUCAUGGUGUAACCCCCCCCCAUCACCUCCAACUCCACCAUCUCUCUGCCUGGAAAAGCCGACCUCAGUUCAUCUGAACGUCACCCCAGACAGGUGUUGCUCUGCCCGUCUUUCCGCAGGUCUUCCAGUCCCGUCAGCUGCGUGGUGGGCCACCGACGGUUGCCGUGGGGAUUCCUGGGUGACGCCCACACGCAGCCCCAGUGGCUGCUCAAGUGGUCCAUCAGCAGUCUGCCUGAUUGGUCGAUUGGCUCCUCUGCAGGCCUGCCUGCUUAUGAGACCUGCAGUGAAGAUUCCUGGUGGCCAAUCGAAUACAGCCGUCUGGUCCCCCACCCGCCCCUGCUUCCAAUCCCCAUGGCUUUACCGCCGGAUUGCCCCAGGUCUGAACAGUAGCGUCAGGCCCGCCGGAACAUUCCAGUAUCCUCGGAGGAUUGCUCUCCCGCGACGUGACAUCAUUGUCCGCACCCACCGCAAAAUCCACAUCAUGGUUACUGCACACGCCACACACAAAGCCUGUCCUGUGGGUUCAUUCACCAUGCACUUAAUACGGCUGAACCCCCCAGUUCUGUAAUGUGCUGGUACUCUCAUAACGUGCUACCAUGCUGACUGAACCCCAGGCUUUUGCCUUCAAAAAGUUGACUCUGGUGUCAUACGUAUAUAAAAAAUGCAGAACGACAAAACAUUUAAAAUGCUUGCUGAAUUAAUCUGUGUUGGAAUAAAAACCCAGGAGGCAUCCAUUCCUCGCAGUGGUGCUCACUUACCUGACCUGGCCGUCAAAGGAUUUUAGGCCGUCUGUGUUCAUUUCCGGGAGAACUCUUCCAAGAAUAUAUACCUCAACGGAAAAAUGGCAUGCAGCAGUAGCGUCCAGAUCCCACGUUCCACUGACGGUGUUUAAUCUACAGGACGUAAUGACGCAAGAAAUCUUUUCAAUCUACUGCACUCCACUGCUGACUGAAUCUGCUUGCUUAAUAGGAGGGUGGCCGAGACCACUUUUCUGCCUUCCAGUGUAACGUGACGUUUCUUCGUUUUUUCAUGGUUUGGCCAUGGUUUAGACCAGCUGUUUCCUCGGCGUGCCCCGUAAUCGUGUCUGUUCUCUUUCCGCAUUAGUUAAUCCCUUAACUGGGGCCGCUUGGGUCAGGCUUUCGGUGCAGCUGAGCGUGACGAUGGGAUGGAUGUAUGUUCGGACUCCAAUGGUGCAUCCGCUCCUGAAAGUGUAUGGAUUUUAUUCUGCUAUAAUAAAUGUGCUCGUGCCCUAAAUAUAAAGAUUUUAUUAAGUAAAUGAAAAUGGACGUUGUGGGGCG
Molecule: long non-coding RNA, 1379 nt
Organism: Paramormyrops kingsleyae
Lineage: Eukaryota; Metazoa; Chordata; Actinopteri; Osteoglossiformes; Mormyridae
Source: RefSeq, a predicted model, not a curated record